Molecule: long non-coding RNA, 36558 nt
Filed under: Citrus maxima (pomelo)
Lineage: Eukaryota; Viridiplantae; Streptophyta; Magnoliopsida; Sapindales; Rutaceae
Description: long non-coding RNA (CMAX_LNC000461)
Source: RNAcentral
CUCUACAGAUCCCCAACUCCCAGCAUCAUCCUUCUACAGAAGAAAGAACCAAAAAGAAACAAAAAAAUUGAAAGCAAGAGGAGAAGGAAAAAAAAAGGCCAUAUUGUUUGUUUGCAGGAAAUGGUACAUACGUCGAUUCGAGCAAUGCCGGCUCCACUGCUUCCUCUUGAAACUCAAUCAUAAUCCAAGUAAACAAUCAAUUCAAGGAAGCCUCACCCGUCCAUUUUACAUGAUUUUGCCUUCCGUCCACCACCAUUAUCAUAAGCAUAAAUCUUAAAUUUGAGAAACGCCCUGAACACAUACACCAGCUGAUAGGCAGUGGCUGCUGGUAACAUACCAAGUUUGUGCCCGCUUGCAUUAUAGAAAGUAAUCAGGUGUUCUCCGGGUCACAUCUGGCUCUCCUCUUCUUGGGGCAGGCUCAAACUGCAAAUAUAGAAAUUUCUUAAGAUUUAGCAAGUGCAACAAUCCGCAUGCCAUCUAGGAUUUUGAACCAUGUGUUGGGAAAACAAAGAGAGAGAUAUCAACCUGAAUGAAUGUGUGGCCCUUGCAGUCGUCAACUUCCAAGAUGGACGCCAUGUUCCCACAGCGAUAACAGUAAUUGGGUGCACUAAAUAUGGUAACCACCUUUUGUUCCUGUCAAAGAUAUGCAGAACGUGGUUUAAAAAAGAAAAAAAGAAAACCACCAAUCCAAAAAGAGAGAACGCCACAUCAGCUUUAAAACAGGAGGUAUUUACAUGACCCCAGUUGUAUCCUUCCAUAACCAGCUGGUGAGCCCUAGCAAUCAGCUUUAAGUUAUUUGUAUGAUUAAAUUGCUCUGAUAUGUCCUGCAACAAGAAGAAAAUAAGCAACAAAAACAGUUUUCUGAAUGGGUAACAUAGAAUGACGAAAGGAAAGAGCAAUUGUAUUUACUUGGCCAAAGGUAUAUCCAGCACCCCUUGGCGAUAUACCCCAACCACAACGAUCAUCUGGAUCAGACCAUAAAAGAUCACACAUGGGACCCUCAUGGGGAACUUCUUGAACACGGUCAAAAUUACGAAUGUUAUCGAGAGUCUCAAUGGACGGAGACAAUCCACCAUGGAGACAAAAUAUUUCUGAUUCAACCUUCAAAACAGAAAAAACUACAUAUAAUAAUGGAAAACUACAAAUAUAAACUAAAACAAUGGCAGAGCAAUUAAAAUAUUUAAUUUUCACUUAUCAAGCUUGAGGAUCAGGUAAGGUAGUAGUUGGGGAAAUAAAAAAAUAUAAAUCAGCAUUCUCAACACUCAACAUGAAAAUGAAAUGGAGGAUAUUGGAAAAUAAACAGAUUGGGUUUAAGCUGGUUGUAGAGGGUGUUCUAGCAGAGAGGACAGAGUGGAGUGCUUUACAGGUUCUAAAUCAUUGACCAUGAUGGCAAUGAUGAUAAAUGGGGUUGUGUAGCAGCAGUACUGGUCUGUCGUGAGUACAAUAGUGCAACCACAGUGACAAUUGACACUCAGGUAACUCGUGCUUGCCUGGCACUAGCUAAAAAACUGAUAAAAUAAGACAGUCCUACAUGACUGGAAAAAAAAUAAAUAAAAUACUAUCUCAGAUCAACAAUGAAUUAUCACAUCUUUAGGGGUUUCCAAACUAGGACUCUCAUCUGAAAUGGAUAUGAAUAUUCAAAUGGCCAUCCUCUAAUAUCCCCCACCUCCCAACGCCCCUUUUCUGUGGGCCCAGGAAUACCCUUUUUUUUUCUUUUUUCAUUUUAGACAUAAAACAAAAGAAACAAAUAAAGUCAUACUAACCAAUGCUGUCAGUGGAAAAUAGUCAAAUAAAUCUGUGAAUAUCUUCCAAACAUUUGCAUUGCCGUACCUGCAAAUAAAAGCAAGAGAUGAAUAUCUAAACGAACAGCAAGCACGGAUAAAUAUAGAAGAAACUUUACUGAACCAAGAAAAAAAGAGUUACUCUUCAGACGUGAAAGAAUAUUGAGUAGAAUUACAUAAAAUACAGUAGUCAUUUCUUAAGGGUAAACUAUACUCUUAUUCUUCAUGUGCAUCAACCCAACAACGGUCCGCAGACUAUUUCCCAAUCCAAUGUUACAAAAUAUGUCUUCACUGCAAUAAACCGAAUUUUGUCUUCGUAGUUAUUUCGCCACAUUUUUCAGAAUAAAUGUGGCAUAUAAUCAUUUUUAUAUGUUCAUUGCAAAUCCAUGUAUACACAUGAAUAGAUAUGCUCUGAGUGUAUAGAAUAUUUGACAGAUGACUGACAACCUUUAUAAAUGUUGAAGCAUGACCCUUGUGUCCCUUUAUAGAAACAAUAGACCUUUCAAUUGCAUGUUCUGGGGAAAUUUGAACCAAUCACUACAGCCAAUCCUUAAUAUGUUUACUUUUUUUCUUCAGCAUCUAUUUGAAAUGACUGCCAGCACCAGUUAUUGGUAUCGAUGCCCAUGUUCAUGAAUCAGAAAUUGAAUAAUUUAAAAUAAAACCACAUUGACUGACUAGCUACAACUGUUCCAUCAAUUCAUUAGAUCUAUCUGAGAGCAGAUGAAAGCCUAGAGAUAAUCGCACCAAGACCUUGAAUAGAAGAAAAGCAUGUUGUCUGACACAGUCAAUAUUACAAUUGUGAGGAUAAAAUUUCCAAUCAAGGUCCCAAGCUACAAAAAUUCUUUGUUCCAAUCAAAAGAUGAACCUUAGAAACCAAGGAUUCCAGGAAACUCACUUCCUAAGGCACUCAUCAUAGAAUCCAUAGACCUGAGUGAUCUGCAGAAGGAAACACAAUGCCAUAAUCAGCUAAUGCUGAUAAAGUUUUAGAGAUAAAAGACUGAGAAUCACAAGUUUCAAGUGCAAGCAGACAUUUCAAAACCUGUAUAAGGGCGCACAGAGAAGGCACCACUUAAACAGAAUCACUAACUAUAGUUCUUUGAUUACUACCUAUUAUUUUAAGAAAUCUGAAAUAUGAGGAGAACAAUUAUAUCAACUUUGACAAGCACUUCCAGAAAGCAUAUCUAAAAUAAAAUAUGAAGGAUACCUGACGACUUUCAUGAUUCCCCCUUAGAAUAGUAAUCCUUUGAGGAUAACGCACUUUCAGAGCUACCAAUAGCUGGAGAAAAAGGGAGGGAAAAAAAACAUUCAGAAACAUAAUAUAAUGCCCCAGCCAUAAACCACAAAACCUAAACUAAAUCCAAAGUGAUUGAUAAUUCGGAAAAUGAGAAGCUUCAGAUUGAAAAGAAACUACGUAGAGUGCAUCCUCACUCUUACCUAUAGAUAACUCUUUGAACUAAAAUUAAACAUUUAAACUAAAAAACAAAAGAUACCAACUUAUACAUACCGUAACAGUUUCUACUGAAUAGUAACCACGGUCAACAUAAUCUCCCAUGAACAAGUAGUUUGUAUCUGGACACUGAAAGAAACCAUGGAAUCAAAAAUACACAUUUAACUGUGAACUCUGAUAUGGUGAAUAUAUCCAAAUAAGAAAUGAAAAUGAAUACAUACAGUGAGGAGACAACAAAAAGAAGUAUAGUAAAGCAGACAAAACAAUAAAACCCACUUACAAUAAAGUUAUCAAUCCAAAAACACCAAACUUAAGAUAACAUAUCCAGUUGAAAAUGACUUUGGCUAAAUUAUGAACCAUCCCAGCACAACAAAAGUAGGUAUAAGGUGACAAUGUGCAUAGGAUCCAGGCUUCAGACGGUUAUUACCACUGUUGCCAGGAUGCAUCACACAUGGCAUCACCUAAGCUGCUAGAACGUAAAAGCUCCUCUACUUGAGAUAUGCAGAGGACUCAACCCCAUAUUUAAAAGAGGCUAAUAUAAAUCUCCAAUUAGAAUAUCUUAAAUAUCCAGCAUAACUAAUGAACAUUUCUUCAGCAGAGACAAUAAUAACCCCUUAAGAAGAAGUACCUUUCCUCCAAUGCGGAAAAGCUCAGCAAGAUCAUGAAAUUGUCCAUGAAUAUCACCACAAAUUGUAACAGGACUUUUUACAGGCUGCAAUGCAAACAAACAAACAAGAUUAACUAAAAUUCAGAACACUUUAACCUCCUAGUAAGUACUAGCAAAUUUGAUACAAGAAAAGCACUACCAAAUAUAAAAAGAAGCAUAGACCAGCUAACCAAGAACAAGAGAUUGAGAACCUUAAACACAGUACAGCAAAUGAUCCUACAUAUCACUUAGGCUUAGUAAGCACUAACAGUACUAACGGGCGGUAAACUAAGGUUGGUCAUGAUCAUUGUCUCUAACACAACCCAAACAGCCAUCCUAAAAUAUACUAAGUUGAAACUUGAGAUUGAAAAGCACGAUAAUGAGAAAGAAAAACAAAAUGUAAACAAAACAGGAUUCAAGUACAUAAAGAAUAAUAAUUGAUAGUAUCUACAGAAACAAUGGCAGAAUAAGGUUAAUUCAUCCAUUUAUUAAACGAAUCAAUUUUUUCAAAUAAAACUCAUUUAAUUCGCAUCGAAUCGAAUGAACGAAUUCUGACCCAUAUUGCCACCCCUAAAAAUAAUUGAUAAUUAAACACUGUGUGUAUAUUUGACAUUUAAAAAAUGAGAAGUAUUGUUAUGUCAAAUAUCUUUAUUUGACAUUUAUCAAUUAUUUUUAUUACUAAACAAUUAUCAAACGCUUUUUACAUCUUUUAAUUGUCAAGAAUUCACAAUAAAAAAACUGUCAUAUAAUUAUGAUAAUUAAUAAUGGUCACUUUGCUAAAAAAAGUCAGUUACAUAUAAAAUAUUAUACAUUUAAAAAAAGAAAAUUGUUCUUUAAAUUCACGGAAGUGUCCGAGGAGAAUUUUAAGAUUAUGAUAAUGCCCUAGCUGGUUUUAAAAAAAAUUUAUAUUACCCCAAAUCCUAAGUAAUUUCAUUGGCUGGUAAAGUUUUAUGAAAACUUCCAUCAUUAAUCCCCCCCCCCCCCCCCCCCCACCCAAAAAAAAAAAAAGAAACUUUCAUCAUGAUAAGUCAAGACCCAUUAUAUUCUGAAAUGUUGAUUAAGUCAGCACACCGCGAAUUUACUUAUCUAGAUGUGUAAAUUCCUUGGAUAUCCUUGUUAUUUAUAUACUAGUGUUAAUGUUUGAUGUUUUUCUUCUCAUGUGUGGUACCCAAUUUUCUUAUUUUGUUUUCAUAAUAAUGUAAAUUGUUAUCUAAAUUUUUUUAAAUUAUAUUAUAUUUUAAAUGUUCCCCAGCUUAUUCUGAUUUUUCAUGGUUCAUGGCUUUCAAGGCUUUAUGUUUUAUAUCUCACAUGUUUAUGCAUUUCCAUUUGCAUUUCAAAGAUGAAAGUGUAGAAGAAAAAUCAGUUUUUAAAUUUUUACAAAAAUUUUUAGGAUCGCUCUCAUACAAUAUAUAAGAAUUUGUAAUUUAGAAAUCGUACCUUAAAAAUGCAAUUUGGCUUUUUCCGUUGAAGUGAUUUAAGCUCCCAGAUCACGAUCCGUCACCACCACUCAUAUUAGAUCACGAUUUGUCACCAUUACUCCUGUUAGAUCACGAUCUGUCACCAAAUAAUCUUCCAAGCUAUGGCUCAGGUUUGAUCUGCACUUGACGUGUGGACGCCUUUAUCACUACUAAAGCAACUAGCACGAGAAAAUUUUUCUCUGAUAUGUAUAAUGUGACAUUUCUUUUUUCAAGAGAAAAUAAGCAUUUUUAUAUCUCUAUUUUAGUGGAUACCCUAGGCUCCAUAUUUAUUUAUUUAUUAAUUCUAUUAAAUCUCUUUUGAUUUAAACUAAAAAAUAAUUAAAACAAAAGUCACUUUACUUGUUCUUGUGUUAUAGGGGCCCACCUUAUAAAAUAACACAAGGCCCCUUACACUCAAGCAUAUUAAUGGAGUCUCCCACUAAAUAAUAUAUUUAGGCUUUUGACCCAAAUAGCUAGUUAUCUUAUUUAUUAAUCCAGUAGUGUAGUCAAUUAAAUGAGCUAACUCGGGGAUCAUUUGGGAACAUAAAAUAGUGGCUACAAUAAUUAGGUCUGUAAUUAAACUAACCAAAUUAUUUAAUUCCAAAUCUACUCCACUAAAAGAUUGGAAUUGACCUCCAUAAUUGUAUGCUCGAAUAAUAAUUUGCCCCAAGCCACAUUGAUUUCUUUAUUGUAUAAUUCUUUGUACCACAUCAUUAAUUAAAUCGAUAUCUCAACCGUCCAAUCAAUUUAAUAACAUCUUAUUCAUUGAUACUUACUGGUUUUCUCUAAUGAUCAUUUUCAACAUACUAAAUAUGUUGACACACUUUGGCGAGAGAAUUCUAUAAUCAAGUGCUGAAAACUCAUUAAGAGAUGUGUUGUACAAAUUCUAUAUUGUUAAUCUAUAACUCCAAUACUCAUAAUUACUCCCACCAAGAUACCGGGUAUUCUUGAUUACAAGUGUGUGUCGUGCCCAUUGGUAACUCAAAUGGAAUAACAAUUACAAUCAUGAAAUUAUAAUUAACUCAAGAUUAAGAUUACAGUAAAAUCAAUGCCUAUGAGAUUUAAUAAGUUUGACAGUCAUUUCAAGGUUAAUUAAAUCUCAUAUGUGAUCCAGCUCAAUAUAAUUAAACUACAUAAGUAAAUUUAUACAUGAUUAAGACAAAUCAUUCAAUGAAUUUACUACAAUCUAAAAAUAAAUAGAGCGUCCAACUCUAUUUAUCAACUACGAACUAAAUUUAUUUAAUCAUAAGAUAACUUGUAUUUAUGUUUUCUGUGAAUCCAUAUGAUGAUCACAUAAAUACAUAUAAUAUGAUUAAACGGACAUUUUUUCAAUAUAUAUUUAUACAAUUGAAAAUAUCUCAAAUAUUUUAUUAAUCAUAAAAUAAAUUAAUAUACUUUAAAAGAACAUAUAAUCCCAACAGAAAGUCACUGUAGAGAUGGAUUUAUAGUUUCUUGAAAACCUUAAGAAAAAUUAAUUAGUAGGUCCUUGUCUACUACUUGAUUUUUUACAGCUAUAUGAAUGAAAUUAUAUGAAUAACGAUUUUUUUUUAAUUAUGUCCAAUAUCCAGGUGUUUAUCAUUAGUUUAUAAACUAACUACUUAAUAAACUAUUUAUUAUUAUUUUUUAAAUAUAAUUUUCGUUGCUAUUCUCAACUUCGUAAUAUUACGUAAACAUGCAUGGUUUAUAUGUUUGCCAUUUAAUUAUAACCAUAUCGUUCAACUUUAAUUUCAAAGUGAAGAUAUAACGGAAAAUAAAAAUAUAGCGAUCAUUGAGACUGGGCUUUUUGGUAGAAAGCAGCAAUAACAAGAGUUCGAAAGAUUAAAGACUAGCACGUUUAAGAUCCCAGAUAUUAGUAAUUAUAAGGCUAUUGAAAGUGAAUAUCAUCAUGUGUUUUAGGGGGAAACAAAUGUAAUAACUUCAAAAGUAACAAAAUCUAUUACACUCCCAUAGGAUCCAGCUUCCUUGUACCAAGUAGUUUCAUAGUUGUUUUCAAUAGACUUUCUUCCAAAGAGGGUGCUCUGAAAGUAAUAUGUAAAGCUAGGAUAACAAAUUACUUCGUGAUGUGAUUGAUUGCUAGCCUUCAAUCUUUUGAACUCAGUGAUUGCGGAUCACCUACGUAAAUGAAUGAAAAGCUAAAUAGUACAAAGUUGACAAAUGAUAUUCACCAAUUCUAUGCCUUGACUUCACAUUCCUUAACUUGGCAGCUCUCUCCUAAUCUAUUAUGGAGUAUUAACUUGUCAUUUCAUGGUCUAUAACUAACAGACAAUGCAACGGAGCACGGUCCCCUUAUGCACACGACAAACCGACUCUCACUUAAAGAAGAAAAUAUUGACAAAUUAAUUGUAACACUUACUACCUUUUGUCCUUUGAAGCAAAAGCCGGGAUUUUGUUUUUUUUUUCAGUGACUUUAUUAUUUAAAAUUGACCAAUACAAAAUGUUUAUUGUUUACAGUUUUCCUUAAUCGAUUAUAUUCUCUCUCAUUACAUUUCAGUACUUCUUGAUAGUGGUUCGUUUUACGUUAGUUGUUACUAAUCAAAUUAGAUGGAAAUGGAUAAUCUUUUAAAAAGAUCAUCAUAAAGAUCAUCAUAAAGAUUGGGUGAACGCUGAAUCCAAAGUCUUACAAUUAAUUACACAAGUAAUUCUUGUAAAUAAGAUUCGCACCUCUUGCUCGACAGCUCUCUAAUCGUGCCCAAAGCAGGCCUCCGAGAUCUUUUCCCGGACACAGUUUCGACAUCGUUUGCAACCCGGAGAGGGCUCCUCGCCGGCGACGAUCUCGCUUCAGGAUUCUUGGAUUUUGCUUUUGCCGUCAGCUUUUUCACUAUAUUUGCCAAGUAAAGAGGAGAAAAAUCAGACAGCGGGAAUGCUGAGGAAGGCAGCAAAAAGUAAACACGGCCUGGUUCCAGAAGAGUUUCAGGUCUCAAUGGCUUUAAGCCGCCGGUGAGAAUCUCAGCUGCCGUGUAUACAAAAUGCCUUGGCUGAUGCCCGACGACUUGGCUUACUGAUACAGAACAGUCAAGUUCCUGUACUCUUCCAUUCAGAUCAACAACUCGUACGCUGUUGAUGAUGAUGAUGAUGAUGAUGAGGAUGAUGAUGAACUGCCAAAGAUGCAGCAAGCCAUCUCUCUCGAUCUGUUUUUACAAUUUUUUGCUAAUCAAGAGAACAAAUACUGAAUCACGUGUGAACAAGGAGAAUCCCCACAGCCUUAAUGUGUUUGAUUAGAUCAAUAUUUCAAUAUUCAAUUAUUUAAUUGCAGAUCAUUUUCUUUUAAUAUUUUACUUCAAUAAUAUGACCUUAGAGAUAAGGUCCCUGGCUAUUGGUUAAAAAAAAAAAGGAUGGAAAUGUAUUGAAUUUAGUUAUGUUUGGUCAAUUUAAUUUUUAGUGAGAUUUUGUCAUCAUGGUCAUGAUAAAUUAGGCAGAUGGAAGAAGAAGAAACUCUAAGGUUUAUUAAAAGUGACCCACAUAAAGAGAGAAAAAAAAAACUAUAUAACUAAUUUUGUGUAUGAGAUGGCUCGGAAUUGGAAUUGGACACGCCUAUCUACCAUCAUGAUCGCCCAAAAAAGUCGCUGGCUUUUUUUUUUUUUUUCCCCCUUUUGAGAAAGGAAAGUAACACUUCCAUUACUUUAACUUUGUGAAUACAUCCAUAAUGGCAUUUGGGAUUUCAUCAUCCAUAGAGCCGAAUCUUUGAACCCUAUGGCUAACUUAGGCAAGGAAUGAGCAUGCAAUUAAAUUACAUGUUCUAGAAGUGUGUGCAAAAAGUUACAAUUUCAACAUCCUUACACAUGCUUUGUAUUUCCGAAACUACCCAAAAUAUUUUUGUUUUACUGCCUUGCUUGUUGUUGACUAGGUUGGCCACUUCUUGGCGAUCUAUUUCUACAAUUACAGCGGUCAGCUUGUAAACACAAUUCCACGGCUUCAGCUUCUGAAAAUCUGAGGUCAAUUGCACAAUUUUGACAGCUGCUACCAUUAUUUUUCUAUUAGAAUCUCUCACAACAGCACCCCAUCCAGCUAGCUAGCCUGCCAGCUGCCUGAUUCAAAUGGGCCACUGCUGCAUCGCCAAUAUUGGUUGAUAAGAAUGUUAUGUUAGAUAGCAUACCCAUUAUUUUUCUUUUAAGAAAAUCCAAUUUGGAAAGUUAUGAUUUUUUAUUAUAUUUUGAAACAUUAAGUAAGCACACCAAAAAUUUACUGUAUCUAGUUGUGUAAACUUUUCUUAGAUAUGCUUUUUAAUUAUGGCGAGUGUUAAUAUCUAAUGUUGAUGUUUUACUACCCUUUUUUUUUUUUUGUUUCCAUAUUAAUAAUGUUAUCUAAAGCUUUAAAAUUCUAUUAGAUUUUAACUUUUCCCGAGCUUCUUCUGAUUUUUCAUGGUUCAUGGCUCUGAAAGCUUUAUAUUUUGGCUAUUUACUGACUUGUUUUUGGAUAUCUGGGUUAAGUUAAUUUAUUAUUUCAACUAGUUGUAUGCAUAUAGCAUUUCCAUUUGCAUUUCAUGGUGAAAGCUACGGCAGAGAUGCAUUUGUUGUUCAUGAAAACUACGAAAAAUGAAGUUAUUAUAAAAGGUGCACCCAUAAUGCACCCUUUGAUUUAUUGUUUCAUCAUGAGAAAUAAAGUGCAUGUGUGCGUGUGCAUAUUACAUAUAUCAAUUGCUGGAAAUUCUUCAGUCAUGGUACGUUUUUUGAAUCCCAUAUAAUCAAUUGCUCUUGACAUAUUAAUCAUGGGUUUCGUUCAUUUAUGUCGACUUUUUGCAUUAUUAAGGAGAAGUCGUCCGCCCUAAUCAAGUAACAGAGGCGCAAUGCGGUAAGUUAUACAGGAAAAGAGUGAAAAAUUGUGUCUUUAAUAUUAUUUAACAUGCGGGUCCCGCUAAUGGACAAGUAAAAGAGGAAAGUAAUUUCAAUUUCACACUGUUUUCGCGCGUACGUAAACCACUCUUCUUUUGUUUUGAGUAAGUAUUGUAAACCACUCUAGCAAAACAUAAUAAUUAUUUAUUGCCGAUUACUUGUCCCAAAGGACAAUCCAUUUACUUGUCCCAAAGGUCAAUCCAUUAAACGUUCAGACACAUCUUCCAACAGUGAUAAAACAAAUUAACCAAUAAAAGAAAUUAAACCGAAGUUCUUGCAGCUUAACAAUGCAUGCAUGCAUACAUAAUCAAUCAGAUGGUAUAUUAUUUAGUGUGCAUGCAAUUAAGUUGAUAAUUAUUCCUCAUGAUCAGUCCAUCAGACGAUUAACAGCAGUCAGGACAGUUAUAUUCCCUAUUUCCACUUCCUUAACAACUUCUUGGACAGUAUCUCGAAUACCCAUAGCUUGCCUAACUUGGAAUGUUCUUCUAGUAACUUGAGCAUUCCUGAGUCUUUCGCUGAGCAGAGAGUUAAUGGAUUCUUCAUUAACUGGUGCUUCAUCUCGGCCAAAAGAUGUCAGGCUCACAGCUGCCAGUAACUGCUCUUUAACAUCGUCAACACUAAUUUCAUUCCGACACAAUUGCAAGAACAACGAACGCACAGAAUCAUAGAGUCCGAGUUCUUCUUUGAUCAAAUGAACGGCCUCUUCUUUUGUCACGGCCGUGUCACGAACUUCGACAAGGAUAGAUUGCACAAUACGCCGUCUUCUAGCUUGUUCAUUAGGAGGUACAAGAGCCAUAGCUUCUAAUCUAUAUAUAAAUUAGUUUACCCAAUCAUCAGUACCUAAAGAGACAUGUAAUUAAUUUAAAAGAAAAGAAAAUCAUUUAUGAGAGAGAGAAACUACAAAGUUCCUUUGUAGUUAAUUUAAAAGAAAAGACAUGUAGUUAAUUUAAAAGAAAAUAAAAUCAUUUAUCAGAAAGAGAAACUACAAAGUUACUUUGUUAAAUACAUUCUCUCUCUAAUAUUAGUUGUACAUCAGCAGCAAGUUGACAAAAGAGACUAGUUCACUAUCAACAACAAAGAGAUAAAUAUCUGUAUCAGUAUAGAAAAAGAGAAAGGGCACAAUUUGAAUGAUAAGAUCAUCAUCAAUACACAUUUGACAGAUAUGAUCAACAUCAAGACCUGCUAAAAUUUUCAUCAUGGAUCAUAGUCACCGAGAUUAAUUAAGAAACUAACUGGGUUCAGGAUUAGGGUAUGGGCAAAGUGGGUUAAGGAGGCAUGAAGAAGGCGGCCUAAUGGUUCCAACGAAAAAAAAUCUUGAAUGAGACUUGAAGAUCGUCAAAAACUACUGAAACUUGAGAUUAAUUAAGAAACUAACUGGGUUCAGGGUUAGGAUAUGGCCAAAGUGGCUUAAGGAGGCAUGAAGAAGAAGGCUUAAUGGUUCCAAUGACAAAAACCUUGAAUGAGACUUGAAGAUCAUCAAGAACUACCGAAUCUUAUGAUUAAUUAAGAAACUAACUGGGUUCAGGUGAGGAUAUGGGCAAAGUGGGUUCAGGAUUAGGAUAUGGCAAAGUGGGUUCAGGAGGCAUGAAGAAGAAGGCCUAAUGGUUCCAAUGAAAAAAAACCCUUGAAUGAGAAUUGAAGAUCAUCAAGAACUACUGAAACUUGUGAAAUGAAUUGUAUAGAUUUCCAGGUUCAUGGGGAAAUAAACAUGAAUUAAGAUUAUGGAAGAAAGAAGCCAAAAGAGCUUGUGGUUAUGACAAGGCAAAUGUGAAGAAGGGGCAUGGUCACCUGAAGAAGACUCAAAGCUUAAGGAGUACAUAUAGAAAUAUGGCACUGGUGGCAACUAUUUGAGGCCAGAUAUGAAACCUUGGGGAUUUCCUGAUGAGGAAGAUAGGCUGAUCUGCAGGCUCUUUGCUAUCAGUGGAAGCAGAUGGUCAGUAAUAGCUGCCCAUCUACCUGGAAGGACUGGCAAUGAAAUCAAUAACUACUAUAGGAACACAAAGCUCAAGAGAAACUCAUGGCCAUGCUCCAAAGAGCACUACUCCAUCAUAAAUCCCACCAUCUCAUCAUCAUCAGCAGCAGCAAGCUUUAGUGUCACUCCUACCAUCUCAAUCUCAUUACACCCCUACCAUUUUUUCCUUUCUUUUUUUUUCCCUAUCAGAAAUAGAAACGAAAAAGUUACUUUGUUAAUUACAUCCUCUCUCUAAUAUUACUUGUUCAUUCAAUCUGAUUUUGUCAUCUGGAUCAUUGUAGUAUGAAUUAAGCUGCUUCAUCAUCAACUAGUUCACCAUGAACAACCAAAGAAUCUAGCUAGUUCAUCAUUGAUAACAAAAGCUACUAGUUCAUCUUCAACAACAAAGAGAUAUAUAUCAGUUACCGGAAAAGAGAAAGGAGAACUGAAGGUGGAUAAACUAUAAAAGGGAAAAAAUUAAAUAGAAGAAAAGAAGUGUGCAAAAUAUGAUCAUUAUCAUCAGCAGCUAUUUCAUCAUCAAAAUGAAGAAGCAGAUGAUCAAACAUCAAAAAUGAAAAUCAAUCAAAUGAAAGACAAGAAAAGAAAUGCAAAAUAUAAUCAUCAUCAAGAUCUAUUGAACUUUGGGUAAGAUUCGAUCAUCAUGGAUCAUGAUUAAUUAGGACUUAUGGAAGAAAGAAGAAAGUAACAAGGUUUAGGAGUUGGACAUGGGUAAUGGGGGCUUAAGGAGGCAUGAAGAAGAAGGCCCAGUGGUGCCAAUGAAAAAAAAACCUUGAAUGAGACUUGAAGAUCAUCAAGAACUACUGAAACUUGUGACACGAAUUGCAUAGAUCUUCAGGUUCAUGAGGAAAUAAACAUGAAUUAUGCUUAAGCUGAUGGAAGAAAGAAGCCAAAAGAGCUUAUUCAGAAGAGAUCUACAAAAAGAAGCACAAGAAAAGAAUUGGCAAAUAUAAAAUUGAGGAUGCUAACGGUUCUAUGUGAAAAAAUUUCAAAUUGACACAUACCAGUGUUUCUACAAGUGAAGAAUAUACUUCUUUGUGAAAAAAGUGUAAGUGAAGGAAGCACUUUCUUCUUUAUUUGAUCUUGCCUUCAUAUUGUAUGAUCUAGGCCAUGGAACUAUGCGUCAAUUUUUUUAUUUCUAAUACUUUUUUUUUAAAAGGAGUUCAACAUUUACUUGAUAGACCAAAAUUGUAAACUUUUUUUCGUUCAUAUACCCUGAUGAAACCAAAAAAAUAAUCCAAUUCUCCUUUUCUUUGAAUAUUGCAACAAGAUGGUUAAAUUCUCUGAAAACCAACAGCGAAAAUGGCCCUCUAUUUCAUGGAACCCCUAUUAUUAUUAGUGUGAACAUAGCCCUUUGAUCCUUUAUUGUCUCAUAAAAAGGCAAGCUUUCUUGCGUUUCAAUCCAUAUACAGUUGUACACACUAAUCUCCUCUAUAUUUCUUUACAACUUCAAUGGCAUUUUGCUGCAUCUGGAAAAUAUCACAAAAAUAAUAUUGUAAAAACUUAAAUGCUUAAUUUUUUAUCUCCUGUUUCUAACAAGAUGCAUGUGUUUGUUAUAUUUAUUAAUUAUCUAACUCUAUACUUUAAUUGAGAAUAAUAGGAAUUAAAUUUGGGGAAUUUGUAGACUUGUUUGCAAUGGUGCUAAGGCUUUGGUGGUGGUGGUGGAGGCUUGUAAUAGUACAGCAAAAAGAAACACAAGAAAAGGAGAAAAAGUGAAAUAACUAGAAUGAAGGAUAUUUACUAGUGUUUGUGCAAGUAUAGAAUGUGCAUUCUUGCCUGCGUCUCCUUUAAAAAUAAAAAAAGUUAUUUAUUAUUAUCUUUUGUUUUUAAGGUACCCCUUUAACAAGAGAGGAGAUGAGUUGCUAAUCUAUCAAUGGAGAUGCAUAGAAACUGGAAGGUGUCUAAUAUUCUUGCAUGAUUUACAGCCUUAUUAUUAUUGUUCCCUGUAAUGGCAAGUUUUCUUCCUUCUCAACCCAUAUACAGUUAAUGCACGCAAAUCUCCCUCUUAGUCUUAUAUAUCUGUAUAACUUUAAUGGCACUUUGCUGCAUCUGGAGAAUAUCUCAAAAAUUAAUAUGGCCAAAAAUUAAACGCUUCAUUUUUUAUCUCCUGUUUCUAGCAAGAUGCAUGUUUUGUUAUAUCUAUUAAUUUUCUAACUUUAUACUUUUAUUGCGGAUAAUAGGAAUUAAAUUUCCUGACGGAGACGCCAAAACUCAAAAGCAUUCAUGCUUGGAAGCAUAUGUAAUUUCUAGUACUGCUUGGUGGUGAAUGUUAACAAAAUAACACCUGCAAGCUGUAAUGUGACCGUUGCUAUGCACAAACUAAAGACAAACAGAUUUUUUUUUCUUUUUUUCUUAAAGGGAUAUUAUCAUUUUCCCACCUAAGGUAUUCUGACAUAUCAUGUCAGUACCACAGUUUGGUAAAACUAUCAAUUUACCACCAAACGUUUAAAUUGUUAGCAUUUUCCCACUAUUCCGUUAAAACUCAGUUAAUAUGUAACGGAAAAUUUCUAAAAGGUCAAUUUUACCCCUGGAGUAUAAAAAACCAUGUAAUUAACCUUUUAUGAAUUUUGUAAUUAAAUCAUCAUUUGUUGUUCUUCAUUCUUAAAGGACAAAAAUUACCAUUUAUGAAUUUUGUAAAAUUGACCGUGUGGUAUUAGGUACUUCAUAAAUUGAUUUAAUUUAUUUAAUUUUUAAAGGGCAAAUUUAUUUAUUUAAUUUUUUGUGUAAAAUUACUAUCAUCAUAUCAAAGAUUAAAUUGCUUCUUUUGCACAUUCUUUUUUUUUCCCUUUCAUAAAUUGAUGUUUAGUAGUAGAAUAAAUUGUCUUUAGCUCGGCAAUUUAAUAAAUAAAUUUGACCUUUAAAAAUUAAAUAAAUUAAAUCAAUUUAUAAAAGUACCUAGCACCACACGGUCAAUUUUAUAAAAUUUAUAAAGGGUAAUUUUUGUCCUUUAAGAAGGAAGAACAACAAAUGAUGAUUUAAUUACAAAAUUCAUAAAAGGUUAAUUACAUGGUCUUUUACACUUCAGGGGUAAAAUUGACCUUUUAUGAAUUUUUUGUUACAUAUUAACGGAGUUUUAACGGAAUGGUGGGAAAAUGCUAACAGUUUAAACGUUUGGUGGUAAAUUGAUAGUUUUACCAAACCGUGGUACUGACAUGAUGUGUCAGAAUACCUUAGGUGGGAAAAUGAUAAUAUCCCUUUCUUAAAUUAUGAUAAUGCCCUAACUGAUUUUAAAUUUUUUUAUUACCCUUGAUUUAAAUAUAUAAUUCUAAAAAAUUUAAUUAGUUAUUAAAAGGGUGCAUUCGGUAUUGUUUUCAAAUCUUGUUUCUGUUUUUUGAAGUCAGAAAACACUAAUUAUGUGUUCGAUAGAUCAUUUUUUAAAAUGUAAAAUUCAUUCAUUCUACACUUUAAACAAAGAAAUAAGAAAUUAAUUUUUUCUUAUUCUCCUUAUUUUCCGAUACAAUAUUAAGUUUCAAAAUGAACAAUUUUUUUCCACCAUCUCACAAAAUAAUAAUAACAUCAACAAUAUUAUUAUUAUUAUUAUUAUUAUUAUUAUUAUUAUUAUUAUUAUUAUUAUUAUUAUUAUUAUUAUUAUUAUUAUUAUUAUUAUUAUUAUUAUAAUACCCAAAAAAUCAAUUUCCCUCUCAAUAAUCUUUUCUUUUUAUAUACAUUAUAAUAUUUAUGUUUUUAUAUAUAUUAAUUAAAUCAAAAAUUAAAAAGGUCACCUAAUUUAUUCUUAAAAUUAAAAUAAUGAAAAUAAUUAUUCAUUACUUAAUUCUAAGUUUAUGGAAAUUAUUCCAAUAAUAAUUCUUUAAAAUGUUUCUAACAAACAUAUUUUACUUUUUUUUUCCAUUUUCAAGAUUAUUUUUUAAAAUGAUACUAAACACAUUUUUAAAUUUUAAAAAUAAAUUUGACAAUAACAUUUUUAUUCUUGUUUUUGUUUUAUGAAAACAACAUUUAAAAAACAAUAUCGAAGAGGACCUAAAGUUCUAUGAAACUUUCAUCAUUAAUCCCUAAAUUGUAAGUCUUGUUAAAUCUAAUUUUCAAUUAUGCACCUAAUUUUAUCAUGUUUGCUUUAAAGAACAAAUUGAUUAAUUUAGAUCACAUCACUUGAUAAGUCACUCAUUAUUUCUCGAAAUGUUAAGUCAGCGCAUCAGAAAUUUACUGGCGCUAGUUUUCUAGUUUUUUGUUUGGAUAUGCUUUUUAAUUAUGGCUAGUGUUAAUGCUAAUGGUUUACUUCUCAUUUGUAGUGCCCGAUUUUUUUUUUAAAUUUGUUUCUAUAUAAUAACAUUGAUGCCUAAAUUUAAAAUUUUAUUAUGUUUUAAAUCUUCCACCAUUUGAUGAAAAACCACUGUAGAGAUGCACUUGUUUUUCAUGAAAAGUAAGAGCAUGUUAUAUCUUUUAUAUAUCAAUUGUUAGAAAUUCUUCUGUUACGAAAUGUUUUUGAAUGCCAUACAGCUAAAUUUUUUAAAUAACUAUCCUUAUUUUCAAUCCAUAUGCAUAUCUUAUCGUGUGGAUUACAUAUGUCAUGGGACCAUAUAAAUUUUGGACAUCAUGGGAUGAAAAACAAAGUGGACACUUUUCAUUAUAGAAAUUGGAGAAUGAGAUUAACUAAUGUUUGACUUCUUUAUGACAUUCAUUGCGUGAAAUCAUUAAAUCAAGAUCAUGGGCUUCUUUAUCUUGAUUUUAUUCAACAUGUAGUCAAAUUUGAACAUGCCAUCCUGGAGUUAAGAUUGUUAUUUAUUUCAAGUGUGUCCUUAAUAUUUUGAUUAGUUUAUAAACCAACUGCUUACUAAACUAUUUAUUAUUAUUUUUUAGCAUAUUUUUUGUCGCUCAUUUCUACUUCAGGAAUAAUAAUAUUACAUAAAUAUGCCAUAUUAAUAGAGUGCCGUGUAAUUAUAACCAUAUCGUUCAACUUUAAUUUCAAAGUGAUUAUAUGAUGGAAAAUUGUGUGUGUGUGUGUGUGUGUUUUUUUUUUUUUUUAGCAGCAAUCACAAGAGUUUGAGGCCGAGCAGAAAUCAUGUGUUUAUAAUGUUUAGAGUGCAGCAAUCACACAGUGUGUAUACUGUUAGAGUGCCAAAAAGUUCAUAAGGCUAUUGAAAGUGCAGAAAUCAUGUGUCUAGGGAAAAUAAAUGUUAUAAUUAAUAUGAAAAACACCAAAAGUAAUGAAAUCUAUCAGUGUGUGCAUCCAAAUGUAAUAAAUCAAAAAGAACAAGAAAAUUAAAGUUUUUUGCACUCAGAUGGUCUACAAUUAUAGCAACAUUUAAAGUUUAAGCUGUAGCGGCUUAAAAGAAUGCUAUUAUGCAACAAUAUAAGAUACCUUCCAUGCAUAUGCAUCUCCAUUGAAUAUUGAUAGCAAUCAUUACUUUCUCAUUUGGUCAAAUUUGUCACUGUCGUAGGUGUUUGGUAUAUGUGUUACUCUUAUUAUAUAUAUAUACAUAAAAAUUCUACAUGUAUUAAUUCUUUAGUUCAUUAGUUGCAUUCAGUAAUUCUUUUUUAAUCCUGUCAUUAGAUUUUACCUCAUUUCUUUCUAGCGAAGUUCAAAUUUAAAAAAUCGACGCUAAAAAAAUUAGGGCCUUGUCAUUUGAGCUAGGACUUCACCUGUAAAAUAUUUCUUUAGUUGAAUUUAUAGAAGAUAUUAAUUAUGUCAAAUUUCACACGUAUGUCUGAGAAAUCUUUUCAAUAGGCUCUUAAAAAAAAGAAAAGAAGAAGGUCUCUUCUCAGUUUUUCACAAGCAAUCUGUAUCCUCUCUAAUAUGCAGGAUUUAUAGUUGUUAUUUAUACUGUGCCAUGUAAUUAUGACGGGCAAUCUAUAUUAUUAUAACAUGGUGGGGGUGAGAGAGAUGAAUACUAUACAACGGGAAUGGGAGGUUUAAUUUUAUGUUCAUUGCUUUGACAUUUUUGCUUUACAAAGGGAAAUACACUUGAACUUGUUGGAACGUGAAUGUAGCUUUAGCCUCGAUAGACCCCAAAAUCCCCAGGUAAGAAGGAUUGUUAUAUUUAAGAUUGCUUUUAAAUUACAAUUUAAAAUAUGAGGAAUUUAACUUAAUGAUUCACAUUCAAAGAUCUAUCACAUAGAAAUUUUUUUUAAUUUAUUUGUAGAAUAACAAAAAAAUUGUAAAAGAAAAGAAAAUUAGUAUAAUACUAAUUUGAGUUUUAAAAAUAAACUAAAUUAAAAAAAUAGAUAAGUGUAUUUAUAAAAAAGGAUGUUUUUGGAAUUUAAAAAAAAUGGAAAAAGAGGUUAUGAAGAGAUUAAAGGGGUACCAAAAGUCGAAGUGUCCAACUCUUAAUAGCGGCGGACAAGUGUCCCUUUUGUUAAUUUUUGUGCUUAAUUAAACACUUUUGUUAUAAUUUUAGGUUUUGCUAUUAGUAUGAAUUAUCAGUAAUACUCUUGUAACACAAGCACCUUUAUAUAUUUGUUUAAUCUAUUUCCUAAGAUAAAUAAUUAACCAAAAAACAAAAAAAAAAAGGUUUAUGAAUAAAAAUACGGAGUCAUUAUUACAUUAAAUUUAUAAAAAAUUAUACAAGUAAAAAAUGACUUUUCACUAUAAGUCGCCAAAUUACUUGACAAAAAUAUUGAUAUUUAUAAUUAAAAAAAUAUUAUUCUAAUCUCCCAAAUCAAUUAUACAAAGUAGUUUAAUACCUAAAUCAAAAUUUAAGUUCAAAAUGAGUUAAAUCCACUCCAUUAAUAAAUAAAGAGGACCUAUCUAUUUCAAAGUCUUUGUGAAUAUCAUAAUAAAAGAGUGGGGUUAAAAUAAGAAGUGGAAAAGUAAUAAUGGUGUAUUGAUGUUUCUUUUUUCAAUAUUUUCUCGGAAAAAUAAAAUUUUGAGUGAGAAAUAUUUAUGUAAGGGUGUUAUUUUCAUGUUAAACAGAUAUUAGCCAAUUUAAUUUCUUAAAUAAAUAUUUUUUUAAAUGAUAAUAUAGUAAUUAAGCCAAAAGAAUAAAGACUUCAUUCAUGACAAAUUGUACGGGUAAAAUUAAAGAACACAAAUAGGGAUGCGUCAUGCGUGUACCCCGGAGCCCUAGAAGCAGCAGCGACUGCUCAAAAAAAGUAGAAUGCCUUUAGCUGGAUUUGGUCGCUGCCUGAUCCAACGCAUGAAUCCAAAUCACUCACUGCCCUAUACUCUUUUUGGGGGGUCAAUAUGACGCACAUGCCAGAAACGUCAGGCCAAUCAACAAAAAGAGCCCUGCAAUCCCAUUGUAUGGCAUUCAGCAUAAGACGGCCAUACUCUAGUUAAAUAUCAAUGCAAAAAGAUCAGCAUUUUUUUUCUCUAUUUCUUAUAAAAUGAUAAAUUUAUAAAAAAUUAGUCUUUGGCCGUCUUUUUAAACCGAGUAACAUGGCAUCUUUUGGCUGUGUUUUGGCAGGUCUUGUUCAAGUUUUACUUUCAAAGAAAAAAUUAAAAAAAAAAAAGAGGAACAAAAUCUCUUUUCAGUUUUUCACAAGCUUGUCUGCUAUCCCCUUGAAUCUUGAUCAGUGGGGGCGCAGCUGCAUUGCCAGAAGUGGUUGAUAAGAAUGUUAUCCUAGAAUACCAUUCAUUUGGACACACCACAAAUUUACUUUUUCUAGCCGUCUAAUUUUUCUUAGAUAAACUUCUUAAUUUACAGCAAAUGUUAGGAUUGAUGUUUUACUUCUCCUAAGUAGAAACCGAUUAUUAUUAUUUUUUUUUCAUUUUGUUUCCAUAAUAAUAUUGUUAUCUAAAAUUUUAAAAAUUCUAUUGCAUUUUAAACCUUUUUCCAGCUUCAUGAUUCAUGGCUCUGAAGGCUUUAUAUUUUGGCUAUUUGCCCACUCGUUUUUGGAUGUCUAGUUAAUUUAAUGUAUUAUUUCAACUAAUUGUAUUUCCAUCUGCAUUUCAAUGAUGAAAAGCAACGGUAGAGAUGCAUUUGUUGCUCAUAAAAACUAUGAAAAAAUGAAUUUAUUAUGGCGUUCCCCAUAAAGUAUAUCAAACUUUAAUUUAUUGUUUGAUCAUGAAAAGUCGAGGGCUUGUUCUAUCUUUCUAUAUCUUCAAUUGUUGGAAAUUCUUCAGUUAUGGUAUCUUUUUGAAUGCCAUACAACUUAAAUACUGUUGACAUUUAUAUGUUUGCUUUCAAAAAGGUGAUGAUAAUGAAGUUCAAUUUUUUGGUAAUUAAGGGCAUACUUUGUUCAUAAUUUUAUUUUAAUUAACAAGAAAUAACAGAAAAUGAAUGUCCACAAAUUAAAUAAAACACAGAUCAGAGUGCAGUUACCAAUAUUAGCUACUAUAUGCUCUCAGUAGCCAAAUGAAGAUAUGGAUUCAGGCGUUCCUUAACUAUCAGCCAAAUGAAGAUAUGGAUUCAGGCGUUCCUUAACUAUCAGCCAAAUUCAAAUUCAUAUUGACUGAGUUAUUUUGGUAGCUACAUGAAUGAAAUCAUACGCAUGCAUAACAAAUUGAUUAUUUUUUUAAGUUAUGUCUUAUAUGCAGGAGUUUUAAUUGUUAUUUAUGAUGGGCAAUAAAUAAUUAUAACAGCCGGGGGGAGAGGGACGAAUGCUACACAAUGGAAAUGGGAGGUUUGAUUUUUUGUUCACUGCUUUGAUGCUUUUGCAUUAAAAGGGGAAAGAAUCUUGAACUUGUUGGAACAUGAGUGUAGCAUCAGCAGAUCUUGAACUGGAUUGGGCACAAAAUAAUGGACCACAAAAUCUCCAAGAAAGAAGAAUGGCCGGCGAAUUCCUGGCUGAAAUGAGUACGAAGGGCAGGUGGGCCAGUGGCCGGGCAAAUUCCUAGAUUGGAUUCAUGCGAUGCAUCAGCAGAUGUUGGCCGAACAAAUCCAAGCUAAAGGCAUUCUACUUUUAUUAACUUAUUUAUGGCAAAGCGCAUAAACCAAAGCCAAUAAAUGUAACACUGAAUUAGUCGUUUGGCUAUCUUUAGCUAAUUUUGAUGAAAAUCCACCGGAGUUUGGCUCGUAUUUGUUUUGGCACGUAUUUGUAAGGCACCGUUUUUGUCAAGCAUAAUUAGCCCUAUUUUGCUCGUAGGGCAUUGAAAAUCCAUUCAUCUCUCUCUUCCCCCGCUGUUAUUAUUGCCCAUCAUAAUCCGUGGCACUGUAUAAAUAACAAUUGUAACUGCUGCAUAUAUAUUAGGCAUAAUUUAAAAAAAAAAUCAAUUUGUUAUGCAUAUAAUUUCGAAAUUAAGUCAAUAUGAACGCAACUGCAAUUGAAUUUGGCUGAUGGGACUAAGGGUUCGUUCGAUAUUAUUUUUCGAUUAGUAUUUUCAUAAUAUAAAAAUAAGAAUGAAAUUUGUAUUUUACAGUUGUUUUAUUUUGAAUAUAAAUACGUGUCUGGUAAUAUUUUUUGCAUCGUGUACUUAAAAAAUUAAAAAGUAAUACACAUUUGUUAGUCAAUUGAAAAUGAUAUGUUCAUAUAUUGAGUUUGUGUUUGGUAGUUUUAUUUUCAUAAACAGUUUUUUUUUUAAUUAGUAAAGGGCUCUGAAAAGAGCUAAGGCAACACUAAACGGGAGUGUGCAACCCCAUAAACAUCAUUGUUUAAUAUGCUAAGCAUAUUUAAAGGAAGAGACUGAAAGCAAUGUAGACCUAAAGGAAAGGAUAAGCUAUAAGUAGCAAGGAAAUCUGUUGUUACAUUUGCUUCCCGAUAAAUAUGGUUCAUUUGAAUCAACCAGUCACGUCAGAUAAGCUCUUGGAUGGCUUGUAUUAGAGAAAGAUGGUCAUUGAUGAUGGGGCUUGAAGUAGAGACUAACUGCAAGAUACACUUGCUGUCCACUUCCACUAUCACCUUACGAAAGCCAUAUAGCCAAGCUAUAGAUAACCCAUGAAAUAAACCUCAAAGUUCAACAGAUGUUACUGAACAAACGCCUAAGUUGGCACCAUAUCCGAUCUGCCAAACUCCUCUGUAGUCACGAAUGAGCCCUCCUAAACGUACAAGUUAUAAUGCAAUUAAAAAGGUAAUAUGAUGAAAAAUAAAAUAAGAUUGAUUUGUUUAAUCCCAUGAAUAAAAAUUAAAUUCCUAGAUAAAUGUAUAUUUACCAUAAAUAAGCUAUCAUGAAAUUUUAAGAUAGGUAGCAUAUCCUCAAUAAAUUAGUAUUAAUAAAAAUUUUAUAAUUUGAAUAAAGUUGCCAUACAUUAAGACUCCAUUUGGGAAUUUUUUUGGUAAUUUUUUUUCAGAAAUCACUUUUGAUAAAUCGUCCCAUCCUAUAGCAAAUUUUGAAAAGUAUAAAAGGAGUAGGUUUUCAAAUUUUGAUUUUGAGAAUCACUUUUAUACUUAAUAAAAAAUCAUAUAUAUUCUCAUAUAUAUUAUAAAAAUCCAAAAUUAUCCUUUUUAAUUAAGAAAUAAAAUCAUUAACUUUAAAGAGAUUAUUAUUAUCAUCAUCAUCAAUUAUAUUGAGAUAACAAAGGAAAAAUAAAAUUAAGAAAUAUAAAAUAUUUAUUUUAGUUGUCAAUUAUUAUAUGCAUACAAUAAAAAUAUUGUAUAUAUAUAAAUGUUAUUCAACAUAUAUCUAAUUCAGUCAUUUAUAUUCUUACAGCAGUUUAAGAGAAAAAUUUACCAAACACAUACGACUAAUUAUAAAAUUCACAAUACUUUUAAAAAUAAAUUUUACCAAACGUUUAACUGAUUCUCUACACAAUUAAUUAUUUCUAAAGUACAAUUGACAUUAUCAUCAAAUUGGCCCUAAUUCUUUCUCACGUUUUUAACAUGGUCAUGCACUAUUCCUUUGGGAUGUAACACAAUAUGGCCAUACAUACUUUUAAACACAAAUAUCCCACAACACUCAUCUGCAUGCUUCUAAGAAAAUAAAUACAAAUAUUCGAAUACUAUGUUGGACCUAAGAUAUAUAUUCAAUCUCCCACUUAGAACAAGUUUCAAGAGAAUAAAAAUUACAAAAAUUAAUAUCUUUAUGUAGAUCUAUAAAUAGUAGUUCAAAUCCACACAAACAAUUAUUUCAUAAUUUGUUUUUAAGAUCAAAAGAAAACAUUGAUGGUGGGUUAGAAAAAAAAUAAUAAUACAUGCAAAAUAGGAAAAGAUAGGAAGAAAAUGUAAGAUGAAUCCCAAAAAAAAAAAGGUAACAGAUAAAAAAGAGUGAAAAUUAAAAAGAAUUAUUGGAAUGAGAGAUUAGAGAUGAGAAAGAAUGGAUUUACAGCCAACCCGUUGGCUCCUGAUGAAUUCAGAUCGGGUAUAGGACACUGAAAAACCUAAAAACAAAAUUCGGACUAUUUCGUGAAUAGGUCCAAGACUCAACUAAAUUUCAAGUUCGAAUUUAGGGAUUUUGUCAAGUUCUCGAACAUAAACCCAAAAUAUUUUAAUUAAGUAAAAAUUAGGAAACGAAAUACAAAAAUUGCUCUCUCUCCUCUCACUUGGCUUAGCGUCGUGGGGGAGGGUGUGUUUUAUGAGAGAUUCUUUAUUUUGCUUGAUUUCUUGUUUUAAAUUCUAACUUUGGAUCUUGAGACCAUAAGAAAGAUAUAUACUUAUUCUUUUUUAGUAAUAACUUUGGAUCUUGAUUUCACAUGAUUUAUUUUUUAUCAUCAAAAUUUCCCUCUUCUUAUUCUUGUUUAGAUCCGUAACUGCAAAAUUCAUCGAAAGAAAAUACUCACACCUUCCCAUGCAUUUUUUUUUAUGUAUUAUUAUCAUCGUUAUAUUGACCCUAAUUUGGUUUUUUAGAAAAUAGCAACUCUAAUUGACUUCCUCUUUUUUUUUUUUUUUCUCAAUCUUUUUGCCCAUUUACUCUUUUUAUUUCCGUUAUUAUUUCAUCUUUAAUUUUUCCAUUUUUGCUUCCUUUUUUCCUUCUUAUUUUAAAAAAUUUUGUCUGAUCGAUUAAUUAUAUAUUUAGUGUUUCACCAAUAAAUUAAUUACAAGAUAUUUAUUAUUACUAUUUUAGUUGGACGGCAAUUGUUUGCUAUGUAAAUUAGCAAAUUUUUUGUUUGGUUCAUAGGAACACCGAUGAAAAUUGCAAGUAAUUGCAAAAAUUAUCAUGUAAAUAAUUAUUAUACACAAAAUUAUUAUUUUUAAAAAAUAAAAUAUGUAAACAAUUGGGGAUCGGGCCCCAUUUUAAUCUUCACUUCAUCCAGGGAUUAUUGGGGAUAUUCCCUAACUAUCUCCCACUAUGAAGGGUUUGGGAAUUGCUUUCAGUUUGGGGAUAGGGCGGAAAUGAUGAUCCCUACCCCGACGAACCCCCCCCCCCCCCCCCCCCCCCCCCCCCCCCAAGCACGGAAAUUGCCAUCCUCAUAUAAACAAAUUUGUUUACAAAUUAGCUAUAUAGCGAACACUUCAACUUGCUUGCUAAAUAAACAAUGGUUUUAGUGUUCGAGAAGGGUAGUUUUAUGAUAAUUAUUAUCAUUGUGGUGAUCACUGCUUGUGCAUCACAUGUUCAGGCGGUAGUGAUGGUAGAGUUGCAGUGAGAUGUGUAUGAAUUUAAUGAUAUUAAAUGGCAGUACUAACCAAAAUUUAAAAAAAAAAAAAAACAAGAAGAAAAUAGCUGUUAUAUUUUUUAAAGAAAUAAUAAACAGUAAUUAUAGUACUUCUUUCUCUUUAAUAAGAAAGAAAUGUAAAAUUAAUACAAAAAAGAGAAACCACUUAGUAAUAUUGAAAAGAGAAAAGUAUUAUAGAGUUUUAAAUAUUGAUAUAACUCUUCAGAGAGGAAGUAAUUGAAAAUUAAUUGUAUGCAAGUGCAAUCUGGUUCUUAGUAGAGUAUGUUUAUUUUAAUCAAUAUGUAAUAACAUUUUAGUAUUUAAGAAAUGCACAUACUUUGUUUUUUAAAUUCACAUAAAUUGCAACAACACAGUUCACUGACCCAAUUGUUUUUUGUUCAGCGGCUUAUCUCAUCACCAUUACAGGAACAACUUAUUUUAUCCACCAUAACAAUUCCAGAAUGGUUCUUAGGUCAUAGCUAGUCCCAGACCGAUACGAAUCAGUAAAUCUCCUAGCGAGCAUCGCGGUACUAAUUACCUUGAUUGAAAAGUCAUGAAGUAUGGAGGGCACGUGCGACAAACAAAUUAAGGCAUGUAUACGUCUGGAUCAUGCAUUACGGGUUAAAUGUAUGUGAUUCAUGUCCAUUAAUUGAGAGAACAAGCUCCAUCUACUUGCUAGCAACGAUUUGUGCUUCAAAUUUUCACAACUUGUUAAUCAAUGCAUAUAAUUAUCUUCCAAAAAUUAACCAUGGUUUUAAUAUUUUAAAAAAAUAGCAAUUUUAUGAUCAAUAUUAUUCCCAUGUUUAUUGUUAUCAUCCUGGUGUGCAUCACAUGAACAAUCCUCUGUUAAGAAACACGAAAAAUGGGUGGUUCAACACGGGACGCAGUUACAAAGACGAGCUAGAGAAGGAAAUGAGGCUUAAGAUAUUCAAGGAGAACCUUGAAUACAUUGAGAAAAGCCAGUAAGGAGGGGAAUCGGACGUACAAGUUAGGCACCGAUCAGUUUUCGGGCUUAACUGACGAUGUGUUUCGUGCUUCAUACACCUGUCCAUGACUAAUGUUUCGACAAGCCUGGACUAGCGGGACAAUGAAGCCGUCACUUUAUCAAGGACCAAGGCUUUUGCGGUAACAAUUGUAAUUAUAUUGAGGGAAUCGUGUACUACAUAGGGAAUUUCUCAGGUGACGUUACUGUAAACAUGUGAAAAAGACCAUAUGUCUUCAUUUUAUAAAAUGCGGUAAUCCACACCAGAUAAUCAUUGGUCAUCAUGUUUAGAGAGCAUUCUCAAGUGCGGGCUUAUGCCUUUACAACACUGUAAAACACGCGACUGCAGGCAUAUGAGAAUAAUUUAUUAGGCUUAAUUGCCAGUAUUAUAUUUUGUUGGGUUCGGAACAACUGAAGAUGGAACCAAUUACUGGUUAAUUAAGAAUUCAUGGGGCAACACUUGGGGUGAGGUUGGCUACAUGAAGAUUCUUAGAGAUGAAAGUCUCCGUGGUAGUGGGCGCUCAAUAUUUCUAUCCACUUGCCUGAAUACGUACGUGCAUUAUGUAUUUACCACAAAAAGCUGAUAUAUAUUUUGUGGUUUUUUUAUAUUUCAUUAAGUUAAAUAAUGUUUUUAAUCUUUAUUUAAACUAUUAAUGUUUGUAAUUGAAUGCCAAUAUGUAUUUGGCCUGGUAUCAAUUAAUGUUAAGUCUCGCGAUUAAAUAUAUAGGUUUGCUCUUUGCUGGAAUUGUUUGUUUACAUUUCAACCAAUAAAUUAUACAAAGAACCUCUCAGGGCUCAUGCUAACAAGUUAGCCGUCGAUUAUGAAAAAUAAUAAGGAGCCCUAAAGGCGACCCCAUGGCAAAGGAAACAAAUAAAUAAAUAAACCGUGCAGGGUUAUCCGUACACGUGCAACUUUAUUUGUUGCCAUCAUAUUAUAUUUUUCAGUUCAAAUACCAGUGCUCCCAUAAAUUAAUGGCAUUUAGGCUAUCACUAAUUUGUAGCUUUCAUGAUCAUGAGAAUAAAUUAAUGAGUUGAUCAUGGGAUAGUUCGAAUUGUGCUACUAGUCGAUCAUAUAUAUAAUAUAUGCAGAUGCAACAAAAUCAAGAGUUGAAAGCACUGAAAUUAGAAACUUGUAUGAAUUCUGCUUUCAGAUUCACUUCUCUGAUUGUGUCUUCAAUUUUAAAAAUGAAAUUUCACGUUUACAGUUUACUUGCUUCGAGACGAUAAACUAAGCAAGUAGAGCAAGAAUAUUUAUACGUAUCAGAGGAUAAUAUUUCAUUUUCAAGAAUCGAGAAAAACAAUAAUUUUCAAUGAGAAAUAGAAUUGCUAAACAAACGCAAAAAAGAAGCACACACAGACGUGUAAUAAUUCAGAGAUUCAUUUUCCACAUUUAUAAGUCAAAAUACUUAUGAUUUUUAUCAUAUUUGAGAUUAUACCGGAUUCUAAUUGUAUAUUUUAUGACAUUAUAGCACGUCUUGAUGUUGGUAAUUAAUUAAGGAUUCUUCAUGCGACUCAUUAAUAUUAUAGGUAUCAAAAGUCAUCGCAGAUUUUGCAAGAUUUCCUCCGUGCAAAUAAAUGUGUGCAUGUAUUAUCGAAUUAUAAAUCUUUUACCCCAGGGCAUGACUUCACUCAUAACUCUUAUGCAACUUAAUUAUUUAGCUCUAGAAUAAAGCAGUACAUUUCUGUUGCACGUGCAUUUAUAAUAGUGUAAGGUUAAAAUUUAAUUACAUAUUAUUAUAAAAAAAAACUCAGCACAACCAAAUCCGAAAAUUAUUGCCCGCGCUUACACAUACACGGGAUUAAAUGUGAUCCACGUUAUCUGAGAGAACAAAUCAGCCAGAUCUUCUGCUGCUACUAUUUAUAUAUAGACAGGGAGCUGCCAUGUUUGCUUCAGUUAUUCACAAUUUUAUUUAUAAAUUAGCUAUAUAGCCAACUCCUUCGACUUGCUAAAUAAACCAUGGUUUUAAUAUUCAAGAAGAGUAGUUUUAUGAUAAUUAUUAUCAUUGUGGUGAUCACCAUUUGUGCAUCACAUGUUCAAGUGGCGGUGUCCCGAUCAAUGAAUGAAGCAGCAUCCAUCUCCAUUGCUGAGAAACACGAAAAAUGGAUGGCUGAGCAUGGACGCAGUUACAAGGACGAGCUAGAAAAGGACAUGCGCUUUAAGAUAUUCAAGCAAAACCUUGAAUACAUUGACAAAGUCAAUAAUAAUAAUAAUAGUAAUGAAGGGAUCAAUCGGACGUACAAGUUAGGUACCAAUCAAUUUUCAGACUUAACCAAUGCGGAGUUUCGUGCUUCAUAUGCCGGAAACAGCAUGGCAAUAACUAGCCAGCACUCAUCCUUGAAGUACCAAAACCUGACCCCAAGUUCCAACUAGCAUGGACUGGAGGGAGAAAGGAGCUGUUACUUCUAUUAAGAACCAAGGCGGAUGUGGUAAUCUAUUAUUAUUGAUUAACUAGUAAUGUGAAUAAAAUCAUUGUGAUUUUAUGUGUGUGUUUAUAUAGAUGUUUCAAUUUAGGAUCCUGAAUUUGUUAAAUUAUACACACACUUAUAUAAAUACUAAUUAGAUUUUAUUUAAGGUAAAUUACACAUCGUCACAUGGGCUUGUUGUCCUAGUGAUUUUUAAGUAAUUUUCUCUAAGUGGAUAUUCUGAUUUGAAUCUUAGGGAUGUAGGGACUAAAACAAUUGAUUUGGGAUUUUUGAAAACUCGUUCGUCUACUUGAAGAUUCCUUUGUUCAGUGAUCCAAUACCCAUAACCCAUUGUUUAUCAACUGCAUCACUUUUCCACCUUAAAUUUAACAAACUUUAACUACUGGUAAUGUCACCGAAGAAAAGUGUACAUUUAACAUGCCAACAUGACAUACAUAAAAUAGAUGUGAUUGCAGCGGUCCACCCAGUGAUUUAAAAAAUAUCAAUUUUCCGUCCAUCGUAAAAUUAGACUUCAAGCUGCAAAGGUAAACUUCAGUUUACCGUUAUUUUUAUCAGCAUUUAAUUUUUGACUGAAUAUCACUGAUCUAGAACAUAUAUAUAUGCAGCAGCUUGUUGGGCAUUUUCAGGAGUGGCGGCGGUGGAAGGGAUCACUCAGAUAAGUAGUGGUAAUCUGAUUCGACUUUCGGAGCAGCAAUUACUAGACUGCUCUUCAAAUGGUAACUCGGGUUGUGUCGAAGGCAAGAGUGAUAUUGCUUUUAAAUAUAUUAUAAAAAACCAGGGUAUUGCCACGGAAGCUGAUUAUCCAUACCAUCAAGUCCAAGGAUCCUGUGGCCGUAAGCAUGCAACUGCCGCUAAAAUCAGUAGUUAUGAAGUUUUACCCUCGGGUGAUGAGCAGGCUUUACUUAAGGCUGUGAGCAUGCAGCCAGUAUCCAUUAAUAUUGAAGGCACCGGACCAGACUUCAAGAAUUACAAAGGAGGUAUUUUUAAUGGAGUAUGUGGGACUCAGUUGGAUCAUGCUGUCACUAUUAUUGGGUUUGGAACAACUGAAGAUGGAACCAAAUACUGGUUAAUUAAGAAUUCAUGGGGGGACACUUGGGGUGAGGCUGGCUACAUGAGGAUUCAAAGAGAUGAAGGUCUCUGCGGCAUUGGCACUCAGGCUGCCUAUCCAAUUACAUGACUGUAGCUACUAGCUAGUGUUAGUUUCAUAUUAUAUUAUACAAUAAUGAUAGAAGUCACAAACUUUCUACAAAUUAAUCAAAUUGAUAAAAUUACAAUGCUAAUUAAUUAGAAUACAAUUGAUUCAAUAAAUACACUUACAUUGAGAAAUAAAAUUGCUUAAUAUAUAGAAAUUUUAGGUGGAAAAAGGCAGUGGCGGAUCUAGCUUGGGACCAGUGGGGACUUAAGUCCCCACUGAAAAAAAAAAAUCUUUUACUAACUAAUUUGAUUUGCCAAACAUUUCUAAUAAAAUUUUCCUAAGCCCCCACUAAUUUAUAUUUAAGUCCCUAAUACAUAAUUAUACUUAAAUUCUCACACUCUAAGUUUUUAAAACAAAUAAAAAGAGAUGGGCUUUGCAAACUAAAAUCAAGCCCAUAAAUAUUAAUAUUAAUCAAAUUUUUAAACAGCUCACAAACCCAUUAAUAAUAUUUUAUUACUCUUUACCUUCUCCAAUUCCACUACCUCAUGCACCCAUAUGCAAAUCCCUAAAUCAUCUUCUUGUUUCGACAUCUCCAAAAGCAAAACAGUAGUGACAGUGGAAAGUGAUUUUCAUUUAUUCCUCCAAAUUUCAAACAACCCCUCAUCUCUUCAUUCAAUAAAAUUAAGGUACAAGUUAACACUUUAUUUACUUUUUAUUUUAUUGUUUAUAAAUCAUAUAUAAUUAUUUGUUGAAUUGAUGUUAUAGUUGUUUUUCUUCCCCCUUAGUUAGUGUAUCAUCUGGCUAUUGGUAUAUUUGAAAAAUACAAUGUGAUUGAGUGUAGAUUCCAUGAAAAAGAACACAUAUUAUUAGGUUAAGAAAAUAACAAUUGCAAUUAAGCAUUUGCUUGCUUAGCUUUAAUGUCUUGUACUGUUUGUUAAUUAAUUUAUAGCAUUAAUAUAAUUAUAUAAUAGGGGAAUAUGCUAAAAGUGCUACUAGCCUAAGUAAAGUACUCAAUAUUCAUAAUCUUUAUUUAUAUUUUGAAAUAGGUAUGGAAAGGUUUUACAAAAGAAAGGAGCCACCACUUUUAGAAAAAAAAUGAUGAUGCUUCAAAACAAAAAGACAAUAGUGGUUCAAAGAAAAAUGAUGAUUGUGGUAAAAAAUAAAAGAAUGAUGAUGCUGGAACUAUGAGAGAAAAUGAUGUGGAGGUGAAUUUAUUGAAUCUUCCUAUGGAUCCUGGGUUACGACAUCCAAUUUCUUACUACAAUGUAAAUAUCCAAGAUCAAGUUCGAAGACAAUAUUUGCAAAAUGGCCCUUGUCAACCAAAAACUCACAAUUUUCCUCUUAGGCAUUUUGGAAAACAAUCUCGGAGAUUCAAUUCAGCUUGGUUUGAUAAAUAUGGAAAUUGGUUAGAGUAUAGCAUUGCAAAGGAUGCUGCAUUUUGUAUUUGUUGUUAUCUUUUCAAGUCAGAAAUUGGAGAACAAGCCGGUGGUGAAUCUUUUACUAAACAUGGGUUUACAAAUUGGAAAAAACCAGAAAGAUUGAGAGUUCAUGUUGGUUGCUCUAAUAGUGUCCACAAUGAUGCUUGGUGUUCUUGUAAAGAUUUAAUGAAGCAAGAGCAACAUAUUCAGACAAUGUAUUCCAAACAUUACGCUUACAAGCAUCAGUUGAUUGUGUCAGAUUUCUUUUACGACAAGGACUUGCAUUUCGCGGCCAUGAUGAAUCUGAAGAGUCAAGUAACCGACGUAACUUUCUAGAACUUCUCAAAUUUUUGACUGAUCAUAAUGAGGAUAUAAAAGCUGUUACAUUAGAAAAUGCCCCAUCAUUUUUUAAAGUGACAUGUCCUGAUACUCAAAAAGACAUUUUUAGUGCUUGUGCAAUUGAGACCACUAAUGCCAUUAUAAGAGAGAUGGGUGAUGCAUUUUUUUCUAUUUUGGUUGAUGAAUCUCGCGACGUAUCAAUAAAAGAGUAAAUGGUUGUUGUCUUACGAUAUGUAAACAUUAGUGGACAAGUGGUUGAACGUUUUAUAGGCGUUGAGCAAGUUGUUAGUACUCCUGCUCAAUCACUUAAGGAAGCUAUUGAUAGACUUUUUUCUAGACACGGGUUGAGUAUGUCUAGGUUGCGAGGGCAAAGUUAUGAUGGAGCAAGUAAUAUGCAAGGAGAAUUUAAUGGCCUUAAAACCAUAAUUUUGAGAGAGAAUGAGUGUGCUUAUUACAUUCAUCGUUUUGCUCAUCAACUUCAGUUAGCUCUUAUUGUUGUUGCAAAAAAUCAUAUUCAAAUUGAAUCUUUUUUUGCUAUAAUUUCCAAUGUGGUGAAUGUUGUUGGAGCCUCAUCUAAACGUUGUGAUGGUCUUAGAGAGAAACAUGCUGAGGAAGUUGUUAAAGCACUUAUCGUGUUGAAUUGUAUUAUGUAGUCUUAGAUAUGCAACUUCAAGAGCUUAAUUCUCGUUUUAAUGAGACAAACACUGAGUUGCUUCUUUGCUUAGCAUGUUUAUCUCCAAAUGAUUUAUUUUCAACUUUCAACAAGCAGAAGAUAUUACGGCUAGCCCAGUUGUAUCCAAAUGAGUUCUCUACAAUUGAUAUAAUGGCACUUGGGACUCAACUUGAUACAUAUAUUUUGGAUAUGCGCACUAGUGGUGAGUUUUCAGAAUUAAAGGAUAUUGGUGAUCUUGCAAAGCGGAUGGUCGAGACUAAGAGACAUAAUGUAUAUCCAUUAGUUUACUUGUUAAUAACAUUAGCAUUGACUUUACCUAUUUCCACUGCGAGUGUAGAGAGAGCAUUUUCAGCCAUGAACAUUUUAAAGAAUCGGUUACGAAGCCGAAUGGGAGAGCAAUAAAUGAAUGAUAGUUUAGUUGUUUACAUAGAAAAAGACUUAUUUAAUAAUAUUGAUAAUGAAGUUGUAAUGCAACGUUAUCAAUGUAUGAAAACUCGUAAAGGACAAUUGUAAACAUAUAUUGAAGUAUGAUAAAUCUUUUAAAUUUAUAUAUUUAUUAUUUUUUAAAUUUUUUUUAUCGCCGUUGAGUAAGCCCCUAGUCAAUCAAUAUGCUGUCUCCGCCCCUGGAAAAAGGUAAUUACAGAAAAUUCAUAUCAUAUUUACAAUAUGAUUCUUUGUAGAUUCCAAACUCCAAGUUGCAACAUCAAUGUGUUGGAUUAGAAUUUAAAGCUGAGCUUAUUUUUUAUUAAGCAAAGAAUCAAUGGUCAAUAUUUAUUUUGUGUUUUUAUUUUUAUUUAUAUUACCCGACAACCAGCGAUUUAGUACUAAAGAAACUCAGUUCAGCAUUAAAUCCUUAUUAUAAUGUGUUAUAUGUGUAUCCUUGUCAAAGUGUGUUAUGUGUAGUAGGAUAAAUCUUCAUAUUUCAUGCACCCAAAUUGACUGGACAAGAAUUUGCACUUUUAUUUAUUUAUUUUUGAAAAACUAUAAGUUGAAAGAAGAAACUUGUGAGUGUCUUGAAUUUGCAUGAAUACUAAUUACAAUAACAAUUAGAAAUUCCCUACAACUUUCCUAGACAGAUCGGUUGAGGCAUUUAUUGUCCACAUGUUUGGGCUUAGAACGACUUAUGACUGAAUUUGCUUCCAAUGUGUUAAAGAAAACCUUUCCAUUCACAAGGACGCUUCAGAAAUAAUGUGAUUUUCCAUCUUAUUAACAAUAGGUGAUUGCCUAAUUUUUAAUACAUUAAAUACCCAACAAAUACAGAGAUAAGUUUGAUUUUCUUUUAAUUUCACUCUUGAUACCUCUGUGGACCCUUGAAUACGUCAACAUAUUAAAACUAUUACUAAAAGAAAACAAAUAUAAUGUCCAUGUCACUGUAAAGUACAACGUGUUUAUUUUAAUUAAUUUUGUAUAUACAAAUUCUUGUGCCAUUUUUGUUAGUAAAAGUAAUGUGACAAUAUUAUAUAUAUAUAUAAAUUAAUUAUCAUCGCAUGUCUCAUGUUUGGAGGGAAUUAAAAAAUAUAUUUAUAAGACGAGACAUGUGUCGAUGGUGUAACUGGCUAUAUCAGUUCGAACAAAAGGUUAUUUCCCUAGUGUUAUUAUUGUCAAAUAAAAUGUAUUUUUUAUGGGAAUAAAAUAAUCAUUUUAGUUCUUUCUUGAAUGAAAUAUGCAGGAAAAAUUUAGGUAGAUAUUUUAUAACGCGAAUAACAUGUUAAUAUGUAUUACGUGUUUGUGUGUAUGAACACACAAAUAUAUGUAGAAUUGAAUUAUAUUAAAUUCAACACUUCAGCUCUGUGAAUUCAUAGAUUCCCCAUUUCAUUAAUUAGUUGGCGUAGACAUUCAUUUUUAUACGGCAUUUUGAGUCAAAGUAAGCAAGCGCCAAGACGUCAACAAAAGUUUCAGAGACGGAAGAAGUCAUCAAAAAUUUCAAAGUUGAUUCAUCAUUUUAUAAUUUGAAAAGUCGUCACAAUCUUGCUACUAUAUUAAAACAACUCUUAAGGGUCCCUAAGGCUUAUACCUUACAUAAUCUGUGGGGUAGCAAGUAAAAUCGUCCUACAUUCAUCACCUUGUUGUGCUGAAUCUUUGAAGAGAGAAACAAAAAAAGGGGGAAAAAUUGAAGCUUCUGCAAAAUGUGUUCAACUUUUUCACUUGCAGCUAAGCCAUCCAUCGGAGAGAGCAGAGGCAAAAUAUGGAGUCUACAAGUUAUCAAUUCAGCGGCAAGAUCUGAAUUGAACAUAAACAUCCCCCGAGAGAAAAACUCGAUCAUUUUCCCCAGAUUAUCAACACAAGGCAUGCUUCAGAGUGAUGUACAUAUAUGCGAAAUCGCGGAAAGACAGUCACUGGCUAACAAUUUAUCAGACAAGGGAGAUGCCUUCAGAAGCAAGCCACAGCUCGAUGCUAUGUUUCUUGAUGAAGCUUAUGAGAGAUGCAGGAAAAUUUGCGCAGAAUAUGCAAAGACUUAUUACUUGGGUACUUUUAAUUUCCAUCCAUUUUGAUGAAGCUUAAUAGCACAUGAACUUCUAUUGCGUUUGUUCUUCUAAAUGAUUCUAGUUGUGUUGUUGAUGCAGGAACUUUGUUGCUGACAAAAGAGAGACAGAAAGCCAUAUGGGCGGUUUACGGUAAGGAAUAGCUACUAAAUUUACGUAAAUUUAUCAUAGAAAUGAUAUAAUGAGCGAAGUUGCGUAGGUUAUAGUGAACAACAUUACCACGCUUGUUUGGUUAAUCUAUAACUUCAAAACUGUUACAGAAUCGUGUCAUGUGUGCUACUAAUUGUUGCAAUGCACAUGUAAGUGUUAAAUAUUCAACUCAAUGCUUUGUUGUCACAGCUUGGUGCAAGAGAACUGAUGAGCUAGUUGAUGGCCCGAAUGCAUUUUGUGUAAGCCCUGCUGCUCUUGAUAGAUGGGAAGAGAGACUACAAGAUAUCUUCAAUGGGCACCCUAAUGACAUUCUUGAUGCUGCACUUACUGAUACUGUUUCCAAGUUCAAUUUACACAUCAAGGUACGUCAAAUUUUUUAUUUCAGAAAUGGAUUUUUAUUUUAUUUUUUAAAUUUUUUUUUGGCUUUAGGCUUAUGUCUAUGAAUCUGAUGUGGUGUUUCAAUUUUUUUAUGAUGAAUAGCCUUUUCGGGACAUGAUUAAGGGCAUGAGAAUGGACACAGAGAAAUGCAGAUAUGCAAACUUCCAAGAGCUCUAUCUUUACUGCUACUAUGCAGGUGGCACUGUAGGCCUAAUGAGUGUUCCGGUGAUGGGGAUGGAUCCGGAUUCUUCAGCUUCUGCUCAAAGGAUAUACAAUGCAGCUCUCUACUUAGGUAUCGGAAAUCAACUUACAAACAUUCUCAGAGAUGUGGGCGAAGAGUAAGUUUCGUAAACUUCUACUUGGCAGCUAGUGGUUGCGUUUAAAUACAUCCUUACCAACAAUUAAAAUCUUUACUUUCAGUGCUUCAAGAGGGAGAAUUUAUCUUCCUCAAGACGAGCUCGCGAAAUUUGGAUUACGCGACGAGGACAUUUUCUCAAGAAAGGUCAGUGAUGAAUGGAGAGAGUUCAUGAAAGAGCAAAUUACAAGAGCAAGAUAUUUCUACAAGCUAGCAGAAGAGGGGGCUUCAGAGCUUGACAAGGCUAGCCGAUGGCCGGUAACUAAAAAAAUACUUUGAAAUAAAUUAAGAAUUAAUCCAUCUAAUAAAGAUUCACAAUUGCAACAAAAACAAAACUCAAGUCUGAAGAUUAUUGACGGUGAAUGAUAUGCAUGCAGGUGUGGACAGUCUUGAUAUUGUAUCAAAAAAUCUUGGAUGCCAUACAAGAUAAUGACUAUGACAACUUGACAAAGAGAGCCUAUGUUGGAAACAUUAAAAAGCUUUUCGUGGUGCGACAGGCAUACUAUAGAGCUCAAUCAAUUUCAACAGCUACGGAUUAAUUAUUUUAUUCCAAUUUUUCUUACACAUUGUUUUAAGAAGAUAAUACAGGAAAACCUAGGGAUUUAGCAUAUUAUUAGAAGCACCAAUACUCAUAUCAUGUUGAGGUAGCCAUACAAGCAUUCAAUCAGCAGACCAUGUAUUAAAUUUGUAAUACGUCCAUUGUAGUAAGAAAUAUAUUGAUUUAUACACAUUUGCAAUAGCUUGUUAUGAUGCAAUCUAGAUUUAAUAUCCAAACUCUUGGCAAUUUAGGAUAAUUACAUUAGAUUCAGCAAUUUCAUUGCCAAAAUAAAGGGACAUUUGAAUAUGGUUAUAAAGGUGAGAUACUAAAAUUACAUCCUUACGAAGUUAAUAAUAAAAAAUGAUGAAUAACCUUCAUAUGGUACGUUGGUUAACUUUGUAAACAUAACAUUAUCGCAGGAGAAUAUCUUCUUGAUUGCCAAAAGAGUUCACUGUGAAUUUGUGAUUUCACCGUGUCACCCCCAACACAGUUUUUCAAUUUGUUCCCACAGAUUCAACAUCCCCAUCCUCAAAUAAAUGAAUAACUCUUACGAGAUUUGUAAUCGAUAUCCACUAGAAUUACUACCCUCAAAAUUAUGAACGGAUCAGAUAAUAGAAUUAGGGGUUAAUUUACCAAAGGAAUCUAAGCUUUUUUAGGUUUAAAGAAAGACAAAAUAAUUUGAACAAUAUAAGGCUUGCAAUAUUUGAAGGCACAACAGAUAAUGAUUGAAAAAAUUAUAGAAACACCCAUUAUCAGAAAAAUGUUUUUAACUCAUCGUCCCUCUACAGAUCCCCAACUCCCAGCAUCAUCCUUCUACAGAAGAAAGAACCAAAAAGAAACAAAAAAAUUGAAAGCAAGAGGAGAAGGAAAAAAAAAGGCCAUAUUGUUUGUUUGCAGGAAAUGGUACAUACGUCGAUUCGAGCAAUGCCGGCUCCACUGCUUCCUCUUGAAACUCAAUCAUAAUCCAAGUAAACAAUCAAUUCAAGGAAGCCUCACCCGUCCAUUUUACAUGAUUUUGCCUUCCGUCCACCACCAUUAUCAUAAGCAUAAAUCUUAAAUUUGAGAAACGCCCUGAACACAUACACCAGCUGAUAGGCAGUGGCUGCUGGUAACAUACCAAGUUUGUGCCCGCUUGCAUUAUAGAAAGUAAUCAGGUGUUCUCCGGGUCACAUCUGGCUCUCCUCUUCUUGGG